UACGUAGGGACCAAGCGUUGUCCGGAAUCAUUGGGCGUAAAGAGCGUGUAGGCGGCUUGUUAAGUCUUGCGUGAAAUCUCGGGGCUCAACCCCGAGCGGUCGUGAGAAACUGGCAGGCUAGAGUGCGGGAGAGGAGAGUGGAAUUCCUGGUGUAGCGGUGAAAUGCGCAGAUAUCAGGAGGAACACCAAUGGCGAAGGCAGCUCGCUGGGACGGUACUGGCGCUGAGACGCGAAAGCGUGGGGAGCAAACAGG
Molecule: ribosomal RNA, 253 nt
Filed under: uncultured bacterium
Lineage: Bacteria
Description: partial 16S ribosomal RNA
Rfam family: Bacterial small subunit ribosomal RNA
Source: RNAcentral